RNAcentral lists this long non-coding RNA (214 nucleotides) under Panax ginseng (ginseng). Its description in RNAcentral is "long non-coding RNA (PGIN_LNC019017)". Lineage: Eukaryota; Viridiplantae; Streptophyta; Magnoliopsida; Apiales; Araliaceae. The record is from RNAcentral.
GUAAUGUUACAAAUGGUGUGGUAAAAGUCCUCAUUGGCCUGUAGUUCAUUGAUGGACAGCUGUUGGCAUGAUUAUGAUGAGAACACGAAUAUCCUUGGGCCGUAGUGCAUGGAUAAUUCGUGGUCGUGAUACUAAUGAAUAUCAUUGACAUGUAGUGCAGGGAUGAUUCGAUGAUGUGGUUUAUUUAUUAAGCUGAGUCUCAUUUAUAAUAAAC